Molecule: ribosomal RNA, 417 nt
Filed under: uncultured bacterium
Lineage: Bacteria
Description: bacterial SSU rRNA
Rfam family: Bacterial small subunit ribosomal RNA
Source: RNAcentral
UACUCCUACGGGAGGCAGCAGUGGGGAAUAUUGGACAAUGGGCGAAAGCCUGAUCCAGCCAUGCUGCGUGUGUGAAGAAGGUCUUCGGAUUGUAAAGCACUUUAAGUUGGGAGGAAGGGCAGUAAGCUAAUACCUUGCUGUUUUGACGUUACCGACAGAAUAAGCACCGGCUAACUCUGUGCCAGCAGCCGCGGUAAUACAGAGGGUGCAAGCGUUAAUCGGAAUUACUGGGCGUAAAGCGCGCGUAGGUGGUUUGUUAAGUUGGAUGUGAAAGCCCCGGGCUCAACCUGGGAACUGCAUCCAAAACUGGCAAGCUAGAGUAUGGUAGAGGGUGGUGGAAUUUCCUGUGUAGCGGUGAAAUGCGUAGAUAUAGGAAGAAACACCAGUGGCGAAGGCGACCACCUGGACUGAUACUGA